UUUGGGGGAAAUUGGUAGGUGUCUG
This 25-nucleotide non-coding RNA is filed under the name Cricetulus griseus (Chinese hamster). The record is from RNAcentral. Lineage: Eukaryota; Metazoa; Chordata; Mammalia; Rodentia; Cricetidae.